Molecule: ribosomal RNA, 774 nt
Filed under: uncultured Neocallimastigales
Lineage: Eukaryota; Fungi; Neocallimastigomycota; Neocallimastigomycetes; Neocallimastigales
Description: partial large subunit ribosomal RNA
Rfam family: Eukaryotic large subunit ribosomal RNA
Source: RNAcentral
CGCAUCUGUGCAUGCAGCAUAUCAAUAAGCGGAGGAAAAGAAACUAACAAGGAUUCCCUUAGUAACGGCGAGUGAAGCGGGAAGAGCUCAAAUUUGAAAUCUUCAAGGUUUUACCUUGACGAAUUGUAGUUUAAAGAAGUGUUUUCUGCUGAAGUUUUGGUAAAAGUUCUUUGGAAUAGGACAUCAUAGAGGGUGAGAAUCCCGUAUUUGACCAUUAUUUUCAGCUUUGUGAUACACUUUCAAAGAGUCGGAUUGUUUGGGAAUGCAGUCCAAAAUGGGUGGUAAAUUUCAUCUAAAGCUAAAUAUUGGUGAGAAACCGAUAGCGAACAAGUACCGUGAGGGAAAGAUGAAAAGAACUUUGAAAAGAGAGUGAAACAGUACGUGAAAUUGUCAAAAGGGAAGCGUUUGACACCAGUGUUGUUUUCUCGAAAAUCAAUUAAAAAUGGCUCGAUUUUGUAUUGCUGAGACCUUAAAAGCUCACUGUACAUUUUUCGUGUCUUUUUUAAUGCACUUUUCGUUUAACAAGUCAACAUCAGUUUCUUUUGUUGUAAAAGGGUCAUUGGAAGGUGGCUUUCUUUUCGGAGAAAGUGUUUAUAGCCUUUGGCCUCUGCAAUCGAAGAGACUGAGGUCUGCAGCGUAGACUCUUCGGGGUUAGAUACAUUUGUGCUAAGUUAUAGCUUUUUAUAGACAACUUGUUGACUAUAAUUAGUCUUGUAGCUUACUCGCUUAUGCUAUUUUACCUACGCUUAGGAUGUUGACGCAUGAGAUAUACGC